GUCCUCUCUCCCAUGGUGGGUGGGUGGGGGGUUUCCUUUUUUCCUCAGCCAAGGCUGAAGGUAAAGAUCAGAUCUUGAGGAUCAUUGUCAAGACUGCCAUGCACUGGGAAGCUUUGUUUUCCUACCUCAGACUGUA
Non-coding RNA from Aotus nancymaae (Ma's night monkey), 136 nucleotides. NCBI's taxonomy places the organism in Eukaryota, Metazoa, Chordata, Mammalia, Primates, Aotidae. The record is from Ensembl.